Molecule: non-coding RNA, 135 nt
Organism: Triticum aestivum (bread wheat)
Lineage: Eukaryota; Viridiplantae; Streptophyta; Magnoliopsida; Poales; Poaceae
Source: Rfam
CACGUACUCCCUCCGUCCAAAAAUACUUGUCAUCAAAAUGGACAAAAUAGGAUGUAUCUAAAACUAAAAUACAUCUAAAUACAUCCCCUUUUAUUCAUUUUGAUGACAAGUAUUUCCGGACGGAGGGAGUACAUG